Molecule: long non-coding RNA, 284 nt
Filed under: Elaeis guineensis (African oil palm)
Lineage: Eukaryota; Viridiplantae; Streptophyta; Magnoliopsida; Arecales; Arecaceae
Description: long non-coding RNA (EGUI_LNC068768)
Source: RNAcentral
ACUUUAGUGAUAUGUGAACUUGAGGCUAAGAUCAUGAGGAACAUGAUAGAUAUAAAAGAAAGGAUUCAAUAAUUUGAUUUCGAAUCAAUAGGUAUUAUGAUAAAAUUUAUGCAUAAGUGGCAUAUGAUGUCUAUAAUAGAAUUGAUGAGUUAUAUCAUAGAUUUCAAUUAGCAAGGUUGAUCUGAGUACGAGAAGUGCUGACCCUAGAAUGAAGUGGGAGGUAUUGAUAUGUUAUGUUGGAUAUAUUCGAUGACAUUGGAAUGCUAAACCUAUAUGGAUAAAGG